AUGUGUGUAUGUAUUUAUAUUCCCUUUCUUAUAUUGUCUCCCAUCAUGGUCUAUCCCCAGAGAGUGCAUAUAGUUCCCUGCGCUCUGCAGUAGGACCUUGUUUUUUAUCCAUUCUAAAUGUAAUAGUUUGCAUCUACUAACCCCAAACUCCUAGUCCAUCCCACCCCCCCACAACCCCUUGGCAACCACAAGUCUGUUCUCCAUGCCAAACCUGUAAUUCUUAAUUUGAACUGUCUCCACUGAACGUCAAUUUUUGAUGUUGUUUUUGCAGUAAUAUGUUUCAUUUCCAGAGGGAGAAAUUUCCUUUUUUACCCCUCCCUGCUUUUAAAAAAAAAGUAAAUACGAUUAUACACAUAGAAAGUUCACCUAAGUGUACAGUUCAGUGGCUUUUCACAAUGUGAACACACCUGUGUAAUCAUUAUUGAGAUACAGAACAUUAUCAAAACCCUGGACAGUAUCUUGUGCUGUAUUCUGAUCGGUAACUCCCCACGCCCAUGGCAAACCACUACUUUGAUGUCUAGUAUUAUAAUGUUUUCUAGUUUUGAACUUUAACUUCCUUUAUAAACAUUAUUGCAUUUUAUCCUGUUUUGAUACAAGUAAUGUGAGAAAUCCUAGAACUCAAUCUAGUUUAUACCUAGCCAUCUCAGCCCUUUGACUUAGACAUUGUUCUCAUGGUGUUCAUAGUUUUCAGGAACACUUAGAUGGGGAAGUUAAAGAAAAGCUUUCUUUGCUUUCGGAUUGUGUGGUAGACCCUGUUUGUGUUUUAAUGUUAUUUGGGUAAACAGGAUACUUUUAGUUUCUGUCAUUGGUGGCCUACAAGAGUACCUCAGCUUUUUUUCUUUUCUUCCCACGUAAAAAUUUUGUUUUGAAAACUUUGGUACAGCAUUCCAGACCAGCUAAUGGCUUUUUGGACUUUUAUCUUAUGACUUGGCAGCUUACUUUUCAUUCUUUGAAUUCCUUGCAAGCAGUGAUUCCCAUUCUCAUUUUUAUGACAGCUACCCUGUGGUAUCCUCUAUUAUUUCAAAGAAUGUUAUGAGUACCCACCCCUUCUCUUGCUUCCCCUCUCAUAAAAAGUCCUAGGUUAAGUCAUUUUACUUUAAAAAUAUUUAUUUUGUAUUUAUGAACAAUAUAACAUUGUGUGCAGAUUACAAAUCUAAUUAUAGGCUACUAAAAAACUGAGAGCAAUACUUAGCAUCCCCUUUCAGGCUAGGGGUCGAAUCGGAGCUGUAGCCACCGGCCUAUGCCAGAGCCACAGCAACGCGGGAUCCGAGCCACGUCUGCAAUCUACACCACAGCUCACGGCAACGCCGGAUCCUUAACCCACUGAGCAAGGGCAGGGACCGAACCCGCAACCUCAUGGUUCCUAGUUGGAUUCGUUAACCACUGCGCCACGACGGGAACUCCCACUUUCUUAAUUUAAAGAAAGGUGUAGGAAAGAUUUAUUACUGUACAUAAUUUUUCUUUCACGUAAGUACCACAGUUAGCCUAGAAGAUAAAUUUAAUUUCCUUUAUGAACAUAUUUUGGUUUUUGUCAGCACCAGAAUAUUUUAAAUGACCUGUAGCUGUUCAAGAAUAAUUUGAGUAAUAUGUUUUAUACCUAGUGGCCUUUUUUUUUUUUUUUUUUUUUUUUUGCUUUUUAUGGCUGCACCUUCGGCAUAUGAAAGAAAGUUCCCAGGCUAGGGGUUGAAUUGGAGCUGCAGCUGCUGCCCUGCACCACAGCCACAGCAGUGCCAGAUCCAAGUUGUGUCUGUGACCUACACCAGAGCUCAUGGCAAUGCCAGAUCCUUAACCUACUGAGUGAAGCCAGGGAUCAAACCCGAAUCCUCCUGAAUACUAGUUGGGAUCAUAAACGCACUGAGUCACAACAGGAACUCUGUAGUGGUCUUUAAUUUGGUGGACUUUCAUUUACCUUUGUGGAAAGUGUUAUGCAAAAAUUUAGACUAAUUUCUAAAAAACUUUCUUUUAACCUGGAGAUUUUUAAAAUUUGACUUUAGAUGUCAUGUUAUAGCAGCAUAUCUCAUGAAGAGUGAAGGAGGGAGUAAAUGGCUUUUGUGUAGAUUAUAGAAUUACCGCUAAAUUUGAAUAAAUGCUGUUCUUACUUGGUUAAUGAGUCAGGACAUUUCCGGCUUUGACCUAAGGCACGGCACUUUUAUGGAUAGGUACUUUCCUUUCUGUAGACAGCAAAAUUUCACUAAGAAAAUUUUGAUUCCUUUGUAUAAAACCUUAAGUCAGUGGUUCUCAAACUUUAGCAUACAUCAUAAUCACCUGGAAUUUUGCUUGUUUUUAUUUUUUAAAAACAACGCAUGGCUAGGCCCCAUGUGUCAGAUUUAAUAGAUAGGAAAUUGCACUUUGAGAACCCAUACUAGGGUAUGGUGAGGUCACCUACACUUAAAAACACAUAAAAACCUCUCACAGGUGAUUCUGAUAUACAUUGUAGCUGAGAACCUUUGAGCCUUAUUUCUUUCUUUUUUGUUUUUUUUUGUCUUUUUGCCAUUUCUUGGGCCACUCCCUCAGCAUAUAGAGGUUCCCAGGCUAGGGGUCUAAACAGAGCUGUAGCCACCGGCCUACACCAGGGCCACAGCAACACGGGAUCCAAGCUGCGUCUGCGACUUACACCAUAGCUCACAGCAACACUGGAUCCUUAACCCACUGAGCAAGGCCAGGGAUCGAACACAAAACCUCACAGUUCCUAGUCCGAUUCGUUAACCACUGAGCCAUGACGGGAACUCCUUUUGAGCCUUAUUUUUCCAAAUAUGGUCCUGGGAACGUCACUUGGGAAUCCGUUAAAAAUGCAAAUUAUUUCAGACUCUGGAGUGUAACCUAGAAAUCUGUUUUAAACCAGCCCUCUUAGUGAUUCUGAUGUGUGCCAAAGCUUGAGAAUCAUCCUUUUAACUCAAAAGUGUCCUUUCUUGGCACCUGUCUGAAAACUUGUUAGAAGUAAAUUUCAGGCCUCACUUAGACCUUCUGAAUAACAGAAUUUCAUUUUAACCAGAUUCUCAGGCAAUUUGAAUAUAUAUUGAACGUUGUGAAGGGCUGCUCUAGAUGAUUUUUAUUACUGUUAUGAAAGUAAUACUAAUAGUUAAAAUUAUUGAACAUUUGCUAUAUGCUAGAUACAUGUAAAUGCUUUAUCAUCAUUUACUCCGCACAACAGCCUUAUAAAGAUGUUUGCUUUUAUUCUCAUUCUGCAAACGUGCAAGUUGAAGCAGAGAGGUUAAGUAUCUUGUGCAGUGUCACACAGGCAUUAAAGCAGGAUGUGGGAUAUGAACUUUAGCAUUCCGACUGUACUUUUGGAGUCUGAGGUCCUAUCAUAAGGACCCUUCAUGUGCAUAUAUUAUUAUGUACCUGCCUUGUUGCAGCUCCAUCAUACGGAGUUUAAUGAAUUUUUUUUUUUUUUUUUUUUUUUUUUUAAUGCCUGCGCCAACUGUAGUUGGAAGUUUGUGAGCCAGGGCUCAAAUCCACGCUGACAGAGCCAGCACUGGAUCCUUAACCCCCUGUGUCACAGUGGGGAUUCUUUAGUGAAUUUUUUGUAUCACGUUUUACAGUGGCAUUUUAGUUUUCUUAUAGGGCUUAUAUUCAAGGACUGUUUUUGCUAAAAUAUUGUGUUUUAUACACAAAAAACAGAACUGGAAGUAGCUGUGAUUUGAAUAGUUUUUUAAAAAAAAUUUUCUUUUUUCUUCCUUUUUUUGGGCUACCCCUUAGCACUUGGAGUUCUUGGGCCAGGGAUCAGAUGUGGACCUAUGAGGCAGCUGCAGAAACGCUGGUUUCUUUAACCCACUGUGUUGAGCUAGGGGUAGAACCUGUGUUCUGGUGUUGCAGAGAUGCCACUGAUCCUAAUGCAGCAUAGCGGGAAUGCCUGACUAUUUGGGUUUUUAAAAAUAGAAAUCACUUAGGAGUUCCUGUUGUGGUUCAGCAGUACCAAACCUGGCCUUGCUCAGUGUGUUAAGGAUCUGGUGUUGCUGUGAGCUGUCAUGUUGGUUGCAAAUGUGGCUUGGAUCCCAUGUGGGUGUGGCUGUGGUGUAGGCCAGCAGCUGCAGCUCUGAUUUGACCCCUACCCUGGGAACUCCCAUAUGCUGUGGGCAGCUCUAAAAACCAAAAAAAAAAAAAAAAAAAA
Molecule: long non-coding RNA, 4111 nt
Filed under: Sus scrofa (pig)
Lineage: Eukaryota; Metazoa; Chordata; Mammalia; Artiodactyla; Suidae
Description: lncRNA (ENSSSCG00030016402.1)
Source: RNAcentral